AGGUUUUAUCAAUCCCAUCAAUAUGGGUAUCAAAUGAAAGGGCUCAACAAGCAGAAUACAAUAUACUAUAAAAAAUUGAAAUACAAGAUGGCGGCCGCUACAAAAUGGCGGAUAACGUAGGUUUUAUCGAUCCCAUCAAUAUGGGUAUCAAAUGAAAGUGCUCAACCAGUAUAAUCAAUGUACUAUAUAAAAUUAAAAUACAAGAUGGCGGCCUCUACAAAAUGGCGGAUAACUUAGGUUUUAUCGAUCCCAUCAAUAUGGGUAUCAAAUGAAAGUGCU
This 279-nucleotide unclassified non-coding RNA is filed under the name Melitaea cinxia (Glanville fritillary). RNAcentral describes it as "misc RNA ENSMCXG00005020248.1". The record is from RNAcentral. Lineage: Eukaryota; Metazoa; Arthropoda; Insecta; Lepidoptera; Nymphalidae.